UCUCCGUAGGUGAACCUGCGGAGGGAUCAUUACUGAGUGAGGGUCUCCGGGCCCGACCUCCAACCCUUUUGUGAACCACCUCGUUGCUUCGGGGGCGACCCUGCCGUUCGCGGCGUGGGGCCCCCGGUGGUCUAUUCAAACACUGCAUCUGUGCGUCUGAGUAAAGAUUAAAUCAAUCAAAACUUUCAACAACGGAUCUCUUGGUUCUGGCAUCGAUGAAGAACGCAGC
Molecule: unclassified non-coding RNA, 229 nt
Filed under: uncultured fungus
Lineage: Eukaryota; Fungi
Description: sequence contains ITS1, 5.8S rRNA gene
Rfam family: 5.8S ribosomal RNA (bases 181-229)
Source: RNAcentral